GUUUGAUCCUGGCUCAGAGUGAACGCUGGCGGCAGGCCUAACACAUGCAAGUCGAGCGGCAGCGCGUCCGACCACCCUCGGGUGGUCGGAUGGCGGCGAGCGGCGGACGGGUGAGGAAUGCAUCGGAAUCUGCCUCGUUGUGGGGGAUAACGUAGGGAAACUGGUGCUAAUUCCGCAUAAUAUCCCGGGGCUACGAGCCUCAGGAUCAAAGCCGGGGACCGCAAGGCCUGGCGCUUGAAGAUGAGCCCGCGUCCGAUUAGCUAGUUGGCGGGGUAAUGGCCCACCAAGGCUUCGAUCGGUAGCCGGCCUGAGAGGGCGGACGGCCACACUGGAACUGAGACACGGUCCAGACUCCUACGGGAGGCAGCAGUGGGGAAUUUUUUCGCAAUGGGCGCAAGCCUGACGAAGCAACGCCGCGUGGAGGAUGAAGGUCUUCGGAUUGUAAACUCCUGUCGACCGGGACGAAUGCACUCGACCUAAUACGUCGGAAUGUUGACGGUACCGGUGGAGGAG
Molecule: ribosomal RNA, 513 nt
Filed under: uncultured bacterium
Lineage: Bacteria
Description: bacterial SSU rRNA
Rfam family: Bacterial small subunit ribosomal RNA
Source: RNAcentral